This 209-nucleotide ribosomal RNA is filed under the name uncultured bacterium. RNAcentral describes it as "partial 16S ribosomal RNA". It matches the Rfam family "Bacterial small subunit ribosomal RNA", at positions 568 to 776 of the family's 1533-position model. The record is from RNAcentral.
UGCGUAGGCGGCGCGGAAAGUUGGGUGUGAAAGCCCUCGGCUCAACCGAGGAAUGUCGCUCAAAACUUCCGUGCUCGAGGGAGGUAGAGGUGAGCGGAACUUAGGGUGGAGCGGUGAAAUGCGUUGAUAUCCUAAGGAACACCGGUGGCGAAAGCGGCUCACUGGACCUCUUCUGACGCUGAGGCACGAAAGCUAGGGGAGCAAAACGG